Long non-coding RNA from Acyrthosiphon pisum (pea aphid), 1242 nucleotides. RefSeq lists it as uncharacterized. The record is from RefSeq and is a predicted model, not a curated record. Lineage: Eukaryota; Metazoa; Arthropoda; Insecta; Hemiptera; Aphididae. The transcript has 3 exons.
GAAAUUUUCUGAGAUAUAAUUGUUUUUAAUAAUAAUAUAACAUAAUAUUCAAAUUAUUAUUUAGAUUACUUUUCAAUAACUUUUGCCUACCGUUUUACUAAAAUUAAAUGAAUGAUAUAUCAUUGAAUUUAAAUUUAACUCAUACAUCACAGUUAUUUACUCAAUCACGAGAUCUCAACAUCCACAGCAGAGAACUUUCCAUUAUUUUUAAAUUUGUUAAGUAUAAAUAAUGUUGUCAAACUUUAAAUAACUAUGUAAUUAAAAAAAGAAUUUGCCUGUGUAAAGAACAACUUUUUAGGAACCUGUAUUGAGUUCUCAAGUUUUGAACGAUCUUUGAAUUUGUUUUCAGUAUUUAUAAAAAAAAAAGUUUAAAGUCUUUUUUUUAGUAAUUCACUGGGGAAAGUAUAAUCAUAUACUAUUCUCAACGUAAUAAUUAGCCUUAAUUCUUUUAGAUUAAAUAUUGGUAAUUUUAGUAUUUCAUUAUAUUAAUAAUUGAUACAUACAUAAAUUUAAUUGAUAUUAUUUUAUAAAUUUAGAAUAUUAAUUGUUGUGUACCAGGAUGCAGAACUGUUAAUAUUAAUGUUACUUACGAUGAAGAUAUCAGAUUAUUACGACCUAAAAGAGAAAAUUUAAUUAACUGGAGUUUAAUAUUACAAGUAAGGUUAACUUUGGACAGUUGCAUAUGUGAACGACACUUCAGACGCGAAGAUCUUAUAUAUCCAAGAGUAUUUAUAGAUGGUCCAAUUAUAAUAAAACCAUCAUUAGUUCCUUCUACAAUGCCAAUACCAAUUGAUAAUGUUGAGGAGUAGUAUGGUUCAAACGGACCCUCCUUUGAUGUCGGAUCAAACUGGAAAAAGAAAAUUCCAAUUAAUGCUACUCAAUCUAAUGCUAGAAAUAAUGUACAAGAUAAUACAGAUUAGUGUUGUCCAUCUAAUAAUUACAUGUCAACUGAUGACUGUUCAACCAUAGAAUAAAAGCUAAUACACAACUCGAGUAAUACUUACUACUUAACUUUAAAUAUUUCUGGAAUUCUAAAUAUUAUGAAACCAAACCGUUAAUUUAAUUCAUUAUUUUUAUUGUAUUUACAUAUUUUUAAGUGUAUUUAUAAGUCAUUUGUAUUUUUGUAAAAAAAAACUAUCAUUGUAAUCUUUUAUGUUAAUUUUAAUAACACUACAUUUAGUGUUAUAACGAGGGUUCGAGAACUGCCAGGAAUAGUAAAUACAUUCCAAGUUAUUAUUCAUA